Long non-coding RNA from Capsicum annuum, 4501 nucleotides. RefSeq lists it as uncharacterized. Lineage: Eukaryota; Viridiplantae; Streptophyta; Magnoliopsida; Solanales; Solanaceae. The transcript is spliced from 3 exons. The record is from RefSeq and is a predicted model, not a curated record.
ACUUAAUUUAUUUGCCGGACCACUUAUUACCUUUUCUUAAUUAGAAACUUGGAGGAUCUAUCAUUUCCAUUUUCCCUCUAUAUAUACUUUCUCUUUCUCGUUCUCCAGUUGAUCUCUCAAUUUUCACGGGCCAUUUUCUUCCAAAAGCAUCUUCUAAAUUCACUUCAAUUUCCGCUUGAAUAUUCUUCAUCAAUUAUCAAAACGUUUAACGGUUUAACGAGAAGAUGAGGAGAUGUCUUCCACGUUCUGAUUUGUCUGAUGAGAAGGUCCUCAGCCUAAGGAAGGUAAUUAAUUAAGCGUUUUUUUUUUUUUGUAUUAUUUAACAAAUGCGAGGAAAAAGAAGUAGCAAUCUGUUUGUAUUUUACUAUUUUGAGAAUAUGGAUUAUAUGAUUAGUAGAACAUUGCGCAUGUUUAUACAGUUGAUAGGGUUAUUCAAAGGGGACACUCAGAGAUAAUAAGAAACACGAGGAAUUAUUUGUAUCAAUUAAGAAAUGUGAGGAAGAAGCAGCAGCAACGUGUUUGUGUUUUACUGUUUGAGGAAUGUGGACAUUUCACAUGUUUAUACAGUUGAUCGGUUAUUCAAAUGAAAUAAGAAGUGUGCGGAAGUAUUCUACAUUUCUAAAAACAAAACAAAAAAAAAAGAAAUGUGAUGAAGAAAAAGAAGGAAUCUGUUUCUGUUUUACUAUUUCGAGAACGGAGGAAGUAUUUUACCUUUCUCAAAAAAACUGAGAAAGAAAUGAAAGCAGCGUGUUUUUGUUUUACUAUUUCAAGAAUGUGGACUAUAUGAUUAGUAGAACAUUUCACAUGUUUAUACAGUUGAUAGAGUUAUUCAAAGGGCAUACUCAGAGGUAAUAAGAAACGUCAGGAAGUGUUUGUAUCAAUUAAGAAAUGCGAGGAAGAAGAAGCAAUGUAUUUGUUUUUUACUAUUUCGAGAAUGUGGACUAUAUGAGCAGUAGAACAUUUUCUAUGUUUAUACAGUUGAUAUAUUAUUCAAAGGUAAUAUGAAAUGCAAGGAAGAAAAAGAAGCACUGUGUUUGUGUUUUACUAUUUCAAGAAUGUGGACUAAAGGAUAAGUUAACAAUUCCCAUGUUUAUACAGUUGAGAGGUUAUUCAAAGGUAAUAAGAAAUGUGAGGAAGAAAAAUAAGCAUUGUGUUUGUGUUUUACAAUUUAAAGAAUGGGGACUAUAGGAUUUAAGAAAUUUGAGGGGGAAAAAAAGAAGCAAUGUGUUUGUGUUUUACUAUUUCGAGAAUGGGCACUAUAGGAUUAGUAGAACAUUUCCUAUGUUUAGACAGUUGAUAGGUUAUUCAAAGGUAACAAGAAAUUUGAGAAAAAAAGUAGCAGUGUGUUUGUGUUUUACUAUUUCGGGAAUGUGGCAUACAGGAUUAGCAGAACAUUUCUCAUGUCUAUACUGUUGAUGGGUUAUUCAAAGGUAAUAAGAAAUGCGAGGGAAAAAAAGAAGCAAUGUGUUUUACUCUUUCAAGAAUUGGGACUAUAGGAUUAGUAGAAAAUUUCCCAUGUUUAUACGGUUGAUAUGUUAUUCAAAGGGGAUACUAAAAGGUAAUAAGAAACACGAGGAAGUAUUUUACCUUUCUCAAAAGAAAAAAGAAGAAAUGUGAGGAAGAAAAAGAAGCAAUUUAUUUGUGUUUUACUAUUUCAAGAAUGGUGUAUAUAGGAUUAGUGGAACAUUUCCCAUGUUUAUACAGUUGAUACUUGAUAGGUUAUUCAAAGGGAAAAAUACUCAUUCAUGCUACAUUGGCACUCGUGAAUGCCUAGUCAGGCAGAAAUAACUGAAGGAUGAGAAAUAAAACAACUGAUAAUUUUGACUCCUUUUGUUUACUAAAUGUUGUGUCUGGAGUCUGAACUAUGCUAAACUAGGCAUUGAUAUGUUAAUUUAUUAAAAUAUAAGUUUGCGGUAUAGGAUCCAUGUUAUGGAAAGUUGACUGAUAAUGUAAGUAUGUUCACAUUUUAGAUUCGCUUGUUGUCCAAUGAAAUGUUGGGAAGUGAAUAAUUGUCUUGAAUAACUUAUUCUUUAGUUUAAUAGUUUGCAAUCACAAGAGAUUUGCUUACUUAACCUUUUGGAAUAUUAGUACAAUGGUUGUGCAGAGCCACUUUGGUAUGUUUUGAUGAGCUUUAAUAAUGUGGUGCAUCUCUGCGUCAUUGGAUAUCUAAAGGAUGGUGGACAAAAGUCAUAUGUAACAUUUGGACGACUGUGUUAUCGAUGAUGUUGUUGGAGAUAUGGUAAUGAGAAAGGUUGUGUAGUGCAGCUUCACCACAGGGCUUACGCCAUGCAUCUUCAUUUCAAGUUGCUACAAUUUUCAAAUUAAACUAAAUCUUAGAUGAUUGUACAUUGGCUUAUCCAAUAUGUACGUCUAUGUUCUUUACAGCUGGAUUUAGAGGUUUUGAUCUGAUGGUUUCUCCAUGUUGACUUGCUAGCAGCAGUAGAAACAUGACAUGAUGGGGAAAAUCUGCAAUCGGAGGUCCCCAGACUGUAAGGUUUACUUGGAAGACAGAGAACUUCUCUAGGUUAAAUUUGAAAAAGCUCUACUCUGAUCCUUUUCCCUUUGUACUUUCUCUUUCUCAUUCUCCAGUUGAUCCCUCAAUUUUCAUCCAAAAAUAUCUUCUAAAUUCACUUUAAUUUCCACUCGAAUAUUCUUCAUAGAUUAUCAAAAUGUUUAACGAUGUAAGUGAACUUCUCUUCUUCUUCGAUAAGUAUGCUGGGUUAGUGCUGUUGAUGGUUCUAAUUCUAAGUAAGCAUGAGUGUGAAGUUUGUUUAUCUAGAAUAUCAGUGUCAUCUUUGUAAUUUUUAAUGCCUUGUAUAUCAUUCUCUGUUUAAUGUAUUGGUUUUAUCCGCCGCACCCCCCACCCCCAAAUAAAUAGAUAAAUAGAGAGCUAGCAUAAUAUGACUAAAUGAAAUGGUUUCAUUUCUCUGGAUAUUUGAUCUCUGUACCUUGUACUCCAGGUCUGUUGCGCAUUCACUUCACUCAUACAUAUCUCUUACACACUAGAUUAAUAAGGACAAUGUUUUUGAUAUUAUUACGUUAUGCUGUUUUUUUUUCCAAGUAUUUUGAGGUAAAAUUCAUCCUCCAUGUGCUUUUGCCCCUAAAAUAUUACAUGGUGACAAUUAAGAAUGUAAAAAAGGUCUUCUUUGCAUACAAUCCACUAUUGCCUUAACUGACAAGAUGUGCUUAUUUGUGAUCUGAGGUUUGUUUUGACUGGAUGUUAUGAUGGUUUUGGAUGAUAACCUACUGAUUGUUUAUUCUUAUGCUAAUUGCAUUUUUUGGUUUAGAACUCGCCUUUUCUUUUAAGGUUAUUGUGUCAACCUAACUUUUGAUAGUGCUAAUCAGAAUAUAGAAGGCUGCUGGAUCUUGUACGCAUCUACUAGAGGGCCAUACUGAUGCAAUUACUUCUGUUUAUGUUGUCAAACCAAGAGGUAUCAGUGAGAUAUAGUUUCCCAGUUGCUCGUUUCUAGCAUUAUGCUUUAUCGUCUGCUGCCAUUAUCAUUUGUCAGUGACACCAUGUUUUGAGAUACGUUCAUGAGCUUUGAGAUACAUUCUUGCUUCAUACAACCUACUUUUUCUAAUAGAUUGUUGCUUCUUAGCCUUUCAUUAUGAGUAGUCACUGGUUUAUUGAUAAGAAAUGUUUUUGUUCAGUAAAUAUUUGCUGCAGAAGUUCAUUAAGAUUGCAUCUUUCCAGUCUAUAAGUUAUCAUGUUCACUUCUUAAUCAAUACAUCAAAAGUUCUAUUAAUGAGAAAAGCUAAGUAGCAAGUUUGUGUUUGAACUCUUAGACAUCACAGUCCGUGUACAAGCACGAAAGGUAUUUCCUUCUAUGUUGAACUAUUAGUGCAAACAAAGGACUGAAUGAUUAACUCAUGAGUUUCUAUGCGGAAUUAUUCUGCUGGGAAUCCUUCUCAGAUGUACUUGAAGAACUUAGCAUAAGAAGUGAUUGUUGAUGAUAUUUACUUCAUAUUUGGUAAGUAUUAAUCUACAGAUCCGUUGCAAAAUCAAAUCUCCUGACUUCUUUUCUUAGACUUCCUUGUAGUUUUCAAUACCUCACAUGCUUCAAUGCGUUUCUGAUUUUUCUUCUCAUCUAUUAUGUUCUUUAGGAUCUUUAUUUGAAAGCAUUGAUGGAGCUAAAUCCAGUUUUGCAGUUAAAUUAAUGCAGGUUUGCAUAUCUGACAGGAGCAGACCUAGAAAAAAGCAAAAGGAGGAGAAAAGGGUAUGUGGUUCCUUCAGAUAGCAAAUACACCGCAAGUAAAAGAAAAGAUCAUUUUUGAUCUAUUUGUAAGAUGUAUUUAGGUUGAUUUGUUUUGUUUUGAACACUCUUUAGACGUGUGUGAAAAAUCAUUACCAAUUGAUUGAAGUGAGAAGCAAAAAUAUUCUGAGAAGGAUGUUCCUCAGAUUCUUUACAUUUUUUUUCCAGUUCGAGGUUGCUUUUUGAUAGAUCAUGUACUGUGUACUUACCUCGUAAGUUUCUUAUACAGUAGAAAUUGUAUUCGUUUA